GUAUAUAGAUUGUUUAGGAGGUAGGUUUGGUGGUUUGUUAUUUUUAUUUUUUAAAGAAUUUUUUACUUUUCUUUCUCUUUAUUUUUGAGUUUGGAAGAAGAGAAGAGAUGGAGAUGGGGUUGAGAAGUUAGAAAACAAAUCAUCAGACAGAAGAAAGGGGGAAAAAAAUAAAAGGCAGAUAAAGAUACAUCAGUUUUCUUGAACCCACCAACAAAAUUCUUGAUUACCCCACCCACCCCCACAUUCCAACCCAGGUCCA
This 259-nucleotide unclassified non-coding RNA is filed under the name Hevea brasiliensis (rubber tree). Lineage: Eukaryota; Viridiplantae; Streptophyta; Magnoliopsida; Malpighiales; Euphorbiaceae. The record is from RNAcentral.